CCAGCUCCCACAGCCGCUCCUUGUAAAACUUGUUCUCCAGACCCCUCACCAGCUUCGUUGCCCUUCUCUUGACACACUCAAGCACCUCGAUUGUCCUUCUGUAGUGAGGGGCCCAAACUGAAACACAAUACUUGAGGUGUGGCCUUACCAGAGCCCAGUACAGGGUGACAAUCACUUUCCCUACUCCUGCUGGCUACACUGUUCUUUAUACAAGCAGAAUGCUGGUUGGCCUUCUUGGCCACCUGAGCACAUGCUGGCUCAUAUUCAGUUGACUAUCAACCCAUACUCCCAAGUCCUUCACGGCUAGGAAGCUUUCCACACUCAUCUCCCAACCUGUAACGCUGCUUGGGCUUGUUGUGCUCCAGCU
This is a long non-coding RNA of Cygnus olor (mute swan), 367 nucleotides long. RefSeq lists it as uncharacterized. The record is from RefSeq and is a predicted model, not a curated record. Lineage: Eukaryota; Metazoa; Chordata; Aves; Anseriformes; Anatidae. The transcript has 3 exons.